RNAcentral lists this ribosomal RNA (836 nucleotides) under Microbacterium sp. PHA-P1. RNAcentral describes it as "bacterial SSU rRNA". It matches the Rfam family "Bacterial small subunit ribosomal RNA", at positions 657 to 1487 of the family's 1533-position model. Lineage: Bacteria; Bacillati; Actinomycetota; Actinomycetes; Micrococcales; Microbacteriaceae. The record is from RNAcentral.
GAGAUUGGAAUUCCUGGUGUAGCGGUGGAAUGCGCAGAUAUCAGGAGGAACACCGAUGGCGAAGGCAGAUCUCUGGGCCGUAACUGACGCUGAGGAGCGAAAGGGUGGGGAGCAAACAGGCUUAGAUACCCUGGUAGUCCACCCCGUAAACGUUGGGAACUAGUUGUGGGGUCCAUUCCACGGAUUCCGUGACGCAGCUAACGCAUUAAGUUCCCCGCCUGGGGAGUACGGCCGCAAGGCUAAAACUCAAAGGAAUUGACGGGGACCCGCACAAGCGGCGGAGCAUGCGGAUUAAUUCGAUGCAACGCGAAGAACCUUACCAAGGCUUGACAUAUACGAGAACGGGCCAGAAAUGGUCAACUCUUUGGACACUCGUAAACAGGUGGUGCAUGGUUGUCGUCAGCUCGUGUCCGUUGAGAUGUUGGGUUAAGUCCCGCAACGAGCGCAACCCUCGUUCUAUGUUGCCAGCACGUAAUGGUGGGAACUCAUGGGAUACUGCCGGGGUCAACUCGGAGGAAGGUGGGGAUGACGUCAAAUCAUCAUGCCCCUUAUGUCUUGGGCUUCACGCAUGCUACAAUGGCCGGUACAAAGGGCUGCAAUACCGUGAGGUGGAGCGAAUCCCAAAAAGCCGGUCCCAGUUCGGAUUGAGGUCUGCAACUCGACCUCAUGAAGUCGGAGUCGCUAGUAAUCGCAGAUCAGCAACGCUGCGGUGAAUACGUUCCCGGGUCUUGUACACACCGCCCGUCAAGUCAUGAAAGUCGGUAACACCUGAAGCCGGUGGCCUAACCCUUGUGGAGGGAGCCGUCGAAGGUGGGAUCGGUAAUUAGGACUAAGUC